CUUGGUCAUUUAGAGGAAGUAAAAGUCGUAACAAGGUCUCCGUUGGUGAACCAGCGGAGGGAUCAUUACCGAGUACUAUAACUCAUAACCCUUUGUGAACCUUUAUACCUGUUGCUUCGGCGGCGCGCCUCCCGGGGCGUGCCCGCCGGCAUUAUCAGAAUCUCUGUUCGAACCCGACGAUACAUCUGAGUGUUCUAAGCGAACUGUUAAAACUUUCAACAACGGAUCUCUUGGCUCCAGCAUCGAUGAAGAACGCAGCGAAACGCGAUAUGUAAUGUGAAUUGCAGAAUUCAGUGAAUCAUCGAAUCUUUGAACGCACAUGGCGCCUUCCAGUAUCCUGGGAGGCAUGCCUGUCCGAGCGUCGUUUCAACCCUCGAGCCCCCGUGGCCCGGCGUUGGGGAUCUGCCCAGGCAGUCCCCGAAAACCAGUGGCGGACCCGUUGGGCCCUUCCUUUGCGUAGUAACAUCUGCCUCGCAUCGGGAGCCUGCGGGCUAUCCGGCCUCUAAACCCCCCUCAAGCCCGCUCCGGCGGCACCAAGGUUGACCUCGGAUCAGGUAGGAAUACCCGCUGAACUUAAGCAUAUCAAUAAGCGGAGGAAAAGAAACCAACAGGGAUUGCCUCAGUAACGGUGAGUGAAGCGGCAACAGCUCAAAUUUGAAAUCUGGCUCCUUCGGGGCCCGAGUUGUAAUUUGCAGAGGAUGCUUCGGGUACGGGUUCCUUCCGAGUUCCCUGGAACGGGACGCCAUAGAGGGUGAGAGCCCCGUCUGGUAGGACACCCAGCCCGUGUGAAGCUCCCUCGACGAGUCGAGUUGUUUGGGAAU
This 821-nucleotide small RNA is filed under the name uncultured Verticillium. RNAcentral describes it as "eukaryotic LSU rRNA". The stretch from base 541 to 821 matches the Rfam family "Eukaryotic large subunit ribosomal RNA", at positions 1 to 281 of the family's 3401-position model. Lineage: Eukaryota; Fungi; Ascomycota; Sordariomycetes; Hypocreales. The record is from RNAcentral.